Molecule: ribosomal RNA, 492 nt
Filed under: uncultured bacterium
Lineage: Bacteria
Description: partial 16S ribosomal RNA
Rfam family: Bacterial small subunit ribosomal RNA
Source: RNAcentral
AGUGAACGCUGGCGGUAGGCCUAACACAUGCAAGUCGAACGGCAGCACAGUAAGAGCUUGCUCUUACGGUUGGCGAGUGGCGGACGGGUGAGGAAUACAUCGGAAUCUACUUUUUCGUGGGGGAUAACGUAGGGAAACUGACGCUAAUACCGCAUACGUCCUACGGGUGAAAGCAGGGGAUCUUCGGACCUUGCGCGAUUGAAUGAGCCGAUGUCGGAUUAGCUAGUUGGCGUGGUAAAGGCCCACCAAGGCGACGAUCCGUAGCUGGUCUGAGAGGAUGAUCAGCCACACUGGAACUGAGACACGGUCCAGACUCCUACGGGAGGCAGCAGUGGGGAAUAUUGGACAAUGGGCGAAAGCCUGAUCCAGCCAUACCGCGUGGGUGAAGAAGGCCUUCGGGUUGUAAAGCCCUUUUGUUGGGAAAGAAAAGCAGCAGGUUAAUACCCCGCUGUUCUGACGGUACCCAAAGAAUAAGCACCGGCUAACUUCGUG